RNAcentral lists this ribosomal RNA (164 nucleotides) under Hordeum stenostachys. RNAcentral's name for it is "5.8S ribosomal RNA". It matches the Rfam family "5.8S ribosomal RNA". From Rfam's summary of the family: 5.8S ribosomal RNA (5.8S rRNA) is a component of the large subunit of the eukaryotic ribosome. The record is from RNAcentral. Lineage: Eukaryota; Viridiplantae; Streptophyta; Magnoliopsida; Poales; Poaceae.
CACACAACUCUCGGCAAUGGAUAUCUCGGCUCUCUCAUCGAUUAAGAACGUAGCGAAAUGCGAUACCUGGUGUGAAUUGCAGAAUCCCGCGAACCAUCAAGUUUUUGAACGCAAGUUGCGCUCGAGGCCUGUUGGCUGAGGGCACUCCUGCCUGGGCGUCACGC